AGUGGCUGGCGGCUGUGGGCGAUGACUAUGCUGCUGUGGUCUGGAGGCCUGAGGGCGAGCCCAGGUGGUGAUCUGAGGGGAAGGGUGCUGGGGAAGAUGGAGAACAGCUGCAGCCCAGAGAGGAAAAGGGACAGCCCAGAGCCACAGGCUCCAAGCCAGGGCUCUGUCCACUGCCCUGCAGAGAGGGAGGGGCAUGUACCCCAUGGGAACAUCUCACCGCUCUAUCCCCUCAGGUUCUACCCAGAUGAAGAGAGUCCCAAGCACUGGACCAAAGAAAGGCACCAGUUUCUGAUGGAGCUGAAGCAGGAAGCCCUCACCUUUGCCAGGAACUGGGGGGCCGACUAUAUCCUGUUUGCAGACACAGACAACAUUCUGACCAACAAUCAGACUCUGCGGCUUCUCAUGGGGCAGGGGCUUCCAGUGGUGGCCCCAAUGCUGGACUCCCAGACCUACUACUCCAACUUCUGGUGUGGGAUCACCCCC
Molecule: small RNA, 483 nt
Filed under: Pan troglodytes (chimpanzee)
Lineage: Eukaryota; Metazoa; Chordata; Mammalia; Primates; Hominidae
Description: retained intron
Source: RNAcentral